UGUUCAGUGACUCAUACAAACACAUACACGUAAAAUACGCCCCAUCGACGCUACAACGAAUCUACAUAUGCAUAUAUAAAGAAGAAAUAUUGCAGGCUCCAGGAAGAGUGAAUUGCAAGUUCCUGUAAUUUUUGUCAAAGCGAGCUGUGUGGAAGAAUGGAAGUACAUUCAGCUACAAAUGGAGCAACAAAGACAUUGUAAAUAAAAGGAAAUGCCGAAGUUAAAAGUUGUUAAAACAACCAUCUCGACAUCAAAGUAUGAUUGAAAUGAAUGACAAAAUAAAAAAUGCCAAAAUGUUAAAAACGUUGUAAAGUGAAUUAAAGGACCAAAAUUAAUUCUAAUUGAACCAAUAAAAGAUGAUAACCUGUUUUUACUUAA
Molecule: long non-coding RNA, 378 nt
Organism: Schistocerca americana (American grasshopper)
Lineage: Eukaryota; Metazoa; Arthropoda; Insecta; Orthoptera; Acrididae
Exons: 2
Source: RefSeq, a predicted model, not a curated record